RNAcentral lists this ribosomal RNA (300 nucleotides) under uncultured Nitrosomonas sp. RNAcentral describes it as "bacterial SSU rRNA". It matches the Rfam family "Bacterial small subunit ribosomal RNA", at positions 496 to 795 of the family's 1533-position model. The record is from RNAcentral. Lineage: Bacteria; Pseudomonadati; Pseudomonadota; Betaproteobacteria; Nitrosomonadales; Nitrosomonadaceae.
GCUAACUACGUGCCAGCAGCCGCGGUAAUACGUAGGGUGCAAGCGUUAAUCGGAAUUACUGGGCGUAAAGGGUGCGCAGGCGGUUCUGUAAGUCAGAUGUGAAAUCCCCGGGCUUAACCUGGGAACUGCGUUUGAAACUGCAGAGCUAGAGUGCGGCAGAGGGAGGUGGAAUUCCAUGUGUAGCAGUGAAAUGCGUAGAGAUAUGGAAGAACAUCGAUGGCGAAGGCAACCUCCUGGGCUAGCACUGACGCUCAUGCACGAAAGCGUGGGGAGCAAACAGGAUUAGAUACCCCGGUAGUC